UCCUCCUCCUCGGCCGCGCUGUCAGUGGAGUUCUGGGCCCGCAGGAAGCCCACGUCGGUCACGGGCGCGUCCACGCUAGGCCGCCGGUCUCGCCGCCGCUCCUCCGGGCAGUAGAGGGCUGUGUCACUGCAGUAGAUGUCUCCCUUGUAGGGGGGCCGCGGGCCUGGUUUCUCCACCCCGUCGCAGAAGGCCAGGUCGCGGGCGGAGGCAUCGGACAGGCGGGAGGACAGGCUGGCGGGGUCCGGCUUCUCCAGCACCUUGGCAAUGACGCAGGCACUGCCGGUCAUCGUGCCCAGCCACAGGCUCCUGCGAAGCUCCACAAAGGUCACUCUGCCGUGUCAGCGCUCAGUGGAAGCAAGGACCUGGAGCAGCCCCCCAAAGGAAACCGAGGGCAACCAGCAGCCGGGGUGGGCCAAAGGGACUCUGGUGAGGGCCAGGGGCUGCCCGGCUGCGUGAGGUGGGGUGCCUUUGGCGGCCCCUCCAAUGUCAUGACCCCACAGGAGCGAGGGGGACAGAGGAGGCUCAGGCUCAGCUGGCAUCUUCCUCCUCAAAG
Homo sapiens (human) is the source of this 553-nucleotide long non-coding RNA. Lineage: Eukaryota; Metazoa; Chordata; Mammalia; Primates; Hominidae. The record is from Ensembl.